GAGUUUGAUCCUGGCUCAGAUUGAACGCUGGCGGUAUGCUUAACACAUGCAAGUCGAACGGUAACAGGCCUUCGGGCGCUGACGAGUGGCGGACGGGUGAGUAACGCGUAGGAAUCUGCCUUAUAGUGGGGGACAACGUGGGGAAACCCACGCUAAUACCGCAUACGCCCUACGGGGGAAAGGAGGGGAUCUUCGGACCUUUCGCUAUGAGAUGAGCCUGCGUUAGAUUAGCUAGUUGGUAGGGUAAAGGCCUACCAAGGCGACGAUCUAUAGCUGGUCUGAGAGGACGAUCAGCCACACUGGGACUGAGACACGGCCCAGACUCCUACGGGAGGCAGCAGUGGGGAAUAUUGGACAAUGGGCGCAAGCCUGAUCCAGCAAUACCGCGUGUGUGAAGAAGGCCUUAGGGUUGUAAAGCACUUUCAAUUGGGAGGAAAACCUGCCGGUCAAUACCCGGUAGCUUGACAUUACCUUUAGAAGAAGCACCGGCUAACUCCGUGCCAGCAGCCGCGGUAAUACGGAGGGUGCGAGCGUUAAUCGGAAUUACUGGGCGUAAAGCGUGCGUAGGUGGUUCGUUAAGUCAGAUGUGAAAGCCCUGGGCUCAACCUGGGAACGGCAUUUGAAACUGGCGGACUAGAGUUUAGUAGAGGGGAGUGGAAUUUCAGGUGUAGCGGUGAAAUGCGUAGAUAUCUGAAGGAACACCAGUGGCGAAGGCGACUCCCUGGACUAAAACUGACGCUGAGGUACGAAAGCGUGGGUAGCAAACAGGAUUAGAUACCCUGGUAGUCCACGCCGUAAACGAUGUCGACUAGCCGUUGGUCCUAUAUACAGGAUUAGUGGCGCAGCUAACGCAUUAAGUCGACCGCCUGGGGAGUACGGCC
This 881-nucleotide ribosomal RNA is filed under the name uncultured bacterium. RNAcentral describes it as "bacterial SSU rRNA". It matches the Rfam family "Bacterial small subunit ribosomal RNA", at positions 9 to 887 of the family's 1533-position model. The record is from RNAcentral.